GGUGAACGCUGGCGGCGUGCCUAAUACAUGCAAGUCGAGCGGACGGACGAUAAGCUUGCGUCCCUGCUGUUAGCGGCUGACGGGUGGGUAACACGUGGAUCACCUACCUAUAAGUCUUGGAUAACUUCGUGAAGCCGGAGCUGCUACCGCAUGAUAUUUUGUACCGCAUGGUUCAAAAGUUAAAGACGGUCUUGCUGUCACAUUUAGAUGGAUUCGCGCUGCAUUAGCUAGUUGGUAAGGUAACGGCUUACCAAGGCAACGAUGCAUAGCCGACCUGAGAGGGUGAUCGGCCACACUGGAACUGAGACACGGUCCAGACUCCUACGGGAGGCAGCAGUAGGGAAUAUUCGGCAAUGGGCGAAAGCCUGACGGAGCAAUGCCGCGUGAGUGAUGAAGGUCUUCGGAUCGUAAAACUCUGUUGUUAGGGAAGAACAGAUGUGGAAGUAACUGUGGACGUCUUGACGGUACCUAAUCAGAAAGCAACGGCUAACUACGUG
Molecule: ribosomal RNA, 497 nt
Filed under: uncultured bacterium
Lineage: Bacteria
Description: partial 16S ribosomal RNA
Rfam family: Bacterial small subunit ribosomal RNA
Source: RNAcentral